Molecule: ribosomal RNA, 500 nt
Filed under: uncultured bacterium
Lineage: Bacteria
Description: partial 16S ribosomal RNA
Rfam family: Bacterial small subunit ribosomal RNA
Source: RNAcentral
AUUGAACGCUGGCGGCAUGCCUCACACAUGCAAGUCGAACGGCAGCACGGGAGCAAUCCUGGUGGCGAGUGGCGAACGGGUGAGUAAUGUAUCGGAACGUACCAUUGAGUGGGGGAUAACGUAGCGAAAGUUACGCUAAUACCGCAUAUACCCUGAGGGGGAAAGCAGGGGAUCGCAAGACCUUGUGCUCUUUGAGCGGCCGAUAUCAGAUUAGCUAGUUGGUGAGGUAAAGGCUCACCAAGGCGACGAUCUGUAGCGGGUCUGAGAGGAUGAUCCGCCACACUGGAACUGAGACACGGUCCAGACUCCUACGGGAGGCAGCAGUGGGGAAUUUUGGACAAUGGGGGCAACCCUGAUCCAGCCAUGCCGCGUGAGUGAAGAAGGCCUUCGGGUUGUAAAGCUCUUUCGGCCGGGAGGAAAUCGCAUCAGCUAAUACCUGGUGUGGAUGACAGUACCGGAAUAAGAAGCACCGGCUAACUACGUGCCAGCAGCCGCAGUAC